AAAAUCCGUCAACUUUAGAAAUCGUGAGG
This 29-nucleotide transfer RNA is filed under the name Potamogeton octandrus. RNAcentral describes it as "partial tRNA-Leu". Lineage: Eukaryota; Viridiplantae; Streptophyta; Magnoliopsida; Alismatales; Potamogetonaceae. The record is from RNAcentral.